AUACGUAGGGGGCGAGCGUUGUCCGGAAUGAUUGGGCGUAAAGGGCGCGUAGGCGGCCCGGUAAGUCUGGAGUGAAAGUCCUGUUUUUAAGAUGGGAAUUGCUUUGGAUACUGUCGGGCUUGAGUGCAGGGGAGGUAAGUGGAAUUCCCAGUGUAGCGGUGAAAUGCGUAGAGAUUGGGAGGAACACCAGUGGCGAAGGCGACUUACUGGACUGUAACUGACGCUGAGGCGCGAAAGUGUGGGGAGCAAACAGGAUUAGAUACCCUGGUAGUCCACACUGUAAACGAUGAAUGCUAGGUGUAGGGGGUAUCGACCCCUUCUGUGCCGCAGUCAACACAAUAAGCAUUCCGCCUGGGGAGUACGGCCGCAAGGUUGAAACUCAAAUGAAUUGACGGGG
Molecule: ribosomal RNA, 397 nt
Filed under: uncultured bacterium
Lineage: Bacteria
Description: partial 16S ribosomal RNA
Rfam family: Bacterial small subunit ribosomal RNA
Source: RNAcentral